GCCUGUUCUCGGGGCGGGGUGAAAUUCCCCACCGGCGGUGAUAGCCCGCGAGCGCCUGCAUUCCGCAGGGUCAGCAGAUCCGGCGAAAUUCCGGGGCCGACGGUAUAGUCCGGAUGAAAGAGAAUGGAC
Molecule: non-coding RNA, 129 nt
Filed under: Paracoccus sp. (in: a-proteobacteria)
Lineage: Bacteria; Pseudomonadati; Pseudomonadota; Alphaproteobacteria; Rhodobacterales; Paracoccaceae
Also listed under: 1 other name
Description: Paracoccus sp. FMN sequence
Rfam family: FMN riboswitch aptamer (RFN element)
About the family: The RFN element is a highly conserved domain that is found frequently in the 5'-untranslated regions of prokaryotic mRNAs that encode for flavin mononucleotide (FMN) biosynthesis and transport proteins.
Source: RNAcentral